UACGUAGGGUGCAAGCGUUGUCCGGAAUUAUUGGGCGUAAAGGGCUCGUAGGCGGUCUGUCGCGUCAGGAGUGAAAACUCGGGGCUUAACCCCGAGCCUGCUUCUGAUACGGGCAGACUAGAGGUAUGCAGGGGAGAACGGAAUUCCUGGUGUAGCGGUGAAAUGCGCAGAUAUCAGGAGGAACACCGGUGGCGAAGGCGGUUCUCUGGGCAUUACCUGACGCUGAGGAGCGAAAGUGUGGCGAGCGAACAGG
Molecule: ribosomal RNA, 253 nt
Filed under: uncultured bacterium
Lineage: Bacteria
Description: partial 16S ribosomal RNA
Rfam family: Bacterial small subunit ribosomal RNA
Source: RNAcentral